ACGCGCAGGCCGCAGACGGCCCGCCCCCGGAUGCGUCCGAGGGCGGUGCCGCCGGCCACACGCCCAUUCUUGUCUAUCUACCUGGUUGCCUCGGCGGGCCGCGCACUCGUGCCGCCCGGGGAUGUUUAUCUCCCUGGACCGCGCCCGCCGGAGGAGCGAUUAAAACCCAUGAAUACUGUUCAGUCUGAGCGUAAGCAAGUGAAAUCAGUUAA
Molecule: unclassified non-coding RNA, 212 nt
Filed under: Nannizzia fulva
Lineage: Eukaryota; Fungi; Ascomycota; Eurotiomycetes; Onygenales; Arthrodermataceae
Description: internal transcribed space 1
Source: RNAcentral